GAUAGCUAUAGUUGAAUGCACCAGUUACCCAUGGAUCACUGAAGUUAAGCAACGUUAUACGUGAUUAGUAUCCGGAUGGGUGACCAUCUGAACUAUCGCGUUUUGCUAUCU
Molecule: ribosomal RNA, 111 nt
Filed under: Diaphorina citri (Asian citrus psyllid)
Lineage: Eukaryota; Metazoa; Arthropoda; Insecta; Hemiptera; Psyllidae
Source: RNAcentral